Vicugna pacos (alpaca) is the source of this 817-nucleotide non-coding RNA. Lineage: Eukaryota; Metazoa; Chordata; Mammalia; Artiodactyla; Camelidae. The record is from RefSeq and is a predicted model, not a curated record.
UCAACUCGGAGCGUCCCAAAUUUCCUGCGGAGUGUGGUUAGAGCUCUGCGGCAACGGAGCAAUUUGGCCCCUGGGGGUCCGUGUUAGUCUAGCUCCGCCGGGCCCCGGCCUCCCAGCACCUCCCCUCCCCAGAACUCCCCAGGGACCGCCCGGCCCUCUUGCCCGCAGCUCCCCGGCGGGGACCCAGAUGCGCGGGCCGCCGGUGCAGCUCCAACAUCUGCUCAGAGACUCGGGGAGGGGCGGCCGCCGGCCGGGACGAGCCCGGGGUGCGGGGCUGUUCCUGAGAAAGCUUUGAGCCGAGGCAAGGGGACUCCAGCAGGGACGUCGACAUGAAGAGAAAGGUGGACGCGAGCUCGGUCAUUCAAAGUCUCCCCACCCCGCCGCCGCCACCACCCAGCAGGGGACAAAAAGAAAAGGAGAAAGAAAGGAGAAGGAAGAAAGUAGUUGCGCCGGGCUCUCUCGGGGGCCGCGCGCGGAGCUGCUCGGUAGAGAGAGGAGCCUUCAACUCUGAGUCCCGUGAACAUAAUCUGCGCGGUUAUAACCAGCCAACCCGGCCAGAUGGCUCCGCGCUCAGCGCCUUAACCCCUUCGGCGCCGCGCCGCCCGCCCCCGCGCCCGGUCCGCCGCGCACGCCUGCGCCCCAGCGCCCCUGCGCCGGGGGUCGGGGACCAAUGAGGGGACGGGGUCAACUCCCCUAACCUUUCUUAAAGAAAAACACCCCAAACUUCCGAGUCAGUAGGAGGCUUCGGUAUACCCCUUGAUCUCCCCCUUUAGAGAUCCAGGAAGAAACGAAGUAUUUAACUUUUCACUGCGCUUUA